This 747-nucleotide long non-coding RNA is filed under the name Prunus dulcis (almond). Its description in RNAcentral is "sRNA ncRNA". The record is from RNAcentral. Lineage: Eukaryota; Viridiplantae; Streptophyta; Magnoliopsida; Rosales; Rosaceae.
CUUUUUCUCUCUUCUCCUUUUUUCUUUCUUUUCUGAGUUUCUCACUCACCCCUUUUUUCCCUAUCUUCUUCUCUCUCUUCCACCACCCCCCCCCUAAAUUUUCCUUUCUCUUCCACCAUUUUUGGGUUGCUGCUUUGUUUUUGCAAAGCUGGUUCCUUUUCUUUUUUCUCUUUAUUCAGGCUUCGGUUUUAUUUUUCAGGUGCUCUUUAUAGGUUUCUGCAAUGUAUUUUCUCUCAUCAUUGUUGAAGGCUACGUCACAUCGGUUGGUUUAACCACUAUCAUCGGCUCCUUGACUCCACAGAUGUUUCUUCCGUUGUCCGUCCUCAGUGGAACUUAUAGAGUUUGGGAUGCCCUUAAAGUGCAAAUAGCACUUAUUGCUUGGAUUAUGAUAGCACUACUUCUAUUAGGUGUAGCUUGGGUGGCUUGCUCACCACCAUUUUCUGUUGGUUACUGAUUUCUCUUUGGUGGUUAUCGGCUUGCUAUAGUGGUGCAACUUGUGGCUGUUGGAUUGUGUGGCACAUAUUUGUUAUUGGUGUUAGGGUUUCCUAAUGUCGUGUGGUGUUUGUAGGCUUUUGCUGUUAUGUGGGGGUAAUGCCUUUAUGCCUGCUUUAUGCAUUUUGUUUGCUUUAUUUGUAGUGGGCUCUAUGUCUGUUUGUAUUGUAUUUUGUGUGAACUCAAUUAUUUGUGUUCAUUUUGAUGUAAUCUAGCUUUAACUUUCUAUUUAAUGAAACUCGAUUUUGACCCAAA